ACUAGACGACACGGCUGUCUUCAUUCCUGGAGAAUUUCUCAAGGACUGCUGGCUGGAAACUUAACGGCUAAUGUGGAUCUGACCGUAGUUUGCCAAAUUAAGAAAACGUUUUUACCCUGUUGAAGAUUUGCUUUAACUUCAAAAGCGAUGACAAGACAGUAUGGACACCCCUUCAGGACCAACCUGAUAAGUCACUGGGUUUUUGUAAUCUCGCAAUAUUGAAAUCAAGAGACAUCACAGAACACAGCAGCAAAGAGACGGGGUUUCACCGUGUUAGCCAGGAUGGUCUUGAUCUCCUGACCUCGUGAUCCGCCUGCCUCGGCCUCCCAAAGUGCUGGGAUUACAGGCGUGAGCCACCGCGCCCCGGCAGCAAAGGAGUUAGGACCUUUGGGAGGUGAAUGAGAUCAGUGCUCUUAUAAAUUGGCUCCAGAGAGCUCCUUCGUCCCUUUCACCAUGUGAGGACACAGCUAGAAGACACCAUCUGUGAACCAGAAAGUGAGUCCUUAUCAGACACUGAAUCUGCUGGCACCUUGACUUCUUAGCCUUCAGAAAUGUGAGAAUUAAAUUUCUGUUGUUUAUAAGAUACACAAUUUAUGAUAUGUUGUUAUAACAGCCCAAACAUAUAUGAU
Molecule: small RNA, 629 nt
Filed under: Pan troglodytes (chimpanzee)
Lineage: Eukaryota; Metazoa; Chordata; Mammalia; Primates; Hominidae
Description: processed transcript
Source: RNAcentral